CAGCAGCCACGGUAAUACGUAGGUCCCGAGCGUUGACCGGAUUUAUUGGGCGUAAAGCGAGCGCAGGCGGUUAGAUAAGUCUGAAGUUAAAGGCUGUGGCUUAACCAUAGUACGCUUUGGAAACUGUUUAACUUGAGUGCAAGAGGGGAGAGUGGAAUUCCAUGUGUAGCGGUGAAAUGCGUAGAUAUAUGGAGGAACACCGGUGGCGAAAGCGGCUCUCUGGCUUGUAACUGACGCUGAGGCUCGAAAGCGUGGGGAGCAAAUGGGAUUAGAUACCCCAGUAGUCCCUGUCUCUUAUACC
RNAcentral lists this ribosomal RNA (301 nucleotides) under uncultured bacterium. RNAcentral's name for it is "partial 16S ribosomal RNA". It matches the Rfam family "Bacterial small subunit ribosomal RNA", at positions 509 to 808 of the family's 1533-position model. The record is from RNAcentral.